This 433-nucleotide ribosomal RNA is filed under the name uncultured bacterium. RNAcentral describes it as "bacterial SSU rRNA". It matches the Rfam family "Bacterial small subunit ribosomal RNA", at positions 957 to 1391 of the family's 1533-position model. The record is from RNAcentral.
GAACGCGAAGAACCUUACCUGGUCUUGACAUGUACGGAAUCCUCCAGAGACGGAGGAGUGCUUUUGGGAGCCGUAACACAGGUGCUGCAUGGCUGUCGUCAGCUCGUGUCGUGAGAUGUUGGGUUAAGUCCCGCAACGAGCGCAACCCUUGUCAUUAGUUGCCAUCAUUCAGUUGGGCACUCUAAUGAGACUGCCGGUGACAAGCCGGAGGAAGGUGGGGAUGACGUCAAGUCCUCAUGGCCCUUAUGACCAGGGCUUCACACGUCAUACAAUGGUCGGUACAGAGGGUAGCCAAGCCGCGAGGUGGAGCCAAUCUCACAAAACCGAUCGUAGUCCGGAUUGCACUCUGCAACUCGAGUGCAUGAAGUCGGAAUCGCUAGUAAUCGCAGGUCAGCAUACUGCGGUGAAUACGUUCCCGGGUCUUGUACACACC